RNAcentral lists this long non-coding RNA (384 nucleotides) under Carica papaya (papaya). RNAcentral describes it as "long non-coding RNA (CPAP_LNC005625)". The record is from RNAcentral. Lineage: Eukaryota; Viridiplantae; Streptophyta; Magnoliopsida; Brassicales; Caricaceae.
AAAUAUGUACCCGCAACGGUUCAUAGAUCCACAGGAUCUUUGAAAGGUUCAAUAGGUAGGUCAACGAUCGGUUCCUUACUAUCGUCCUCAUCUAAAGUGCCAUGAAAAUGGGUGAGUUUCAUAUAUUUAGUAAGGAAAACAGUAUUUAAAUAACAUCACUAAGAUUUUAAAGGCAAUUAAACUUGAAAAAUGGUACCUUAUUUACUCACCAUCAGGAAUCAUGUCAGAGAUCCAUUUCAAUAAUUAUGAAAAUAGUUUACUAUAUUUAAAGAAAAUUUCAAAUCAAUCAUGUAAAAUCAUGUCAUAAUCAUAUCAAAUCCUAUCAAUCAUAUCAUGUCAAUCAUAUCAAUCAUGUUGAAAUUAAAUAGAAAAAAUCAAACAAAU